Molecule: long non-coding RNA, 726 nt
Filed under: Solanum tuberosum (potato)
Lineage: Eukaryota; Viridiplantae; Streptophyta; Magnoliopsida; Solanales; Solanaceae
Description: long non-coding RNA (STUB_LNC006065)
Source: RNAcentral
UGACCAGCAUUUCCAAAACAUAAAAGGUGCAUCCCAAUCUAGUGGGAUGUACUAUACAUCCUCUAUAUGCAUUCCGCUCUAUUCAACCUUAGGACUUACAGAUAUCAUCUAUAAACUGAUGGAAGGAAAAAGUAAAAUGAAAUCCCAGCUUUCCCUGAAACAUGUGGCCAACAUUUCCAAAACAUAAAAGUUGCAUCCCAAUCUAGUGGGGAUGUACUAUAAGCAUUCCACUCUAUUCAAUCAUUGGACUUACAUAUAUCAUCUAUUAAAAAACGGUAAGUAAGCACAUAAAAUGAAAACCCAAACCCAGCACAUUGGUCACCAAAAAGAAUGAAAACCCAACUUCCCCUGAAAUAUGUGCCCAGCCUUUCCAAAACAUAAAAGUUGCAUCCAUGCUAAUAUUAAUCAACCCACUACACCUAAAUCCAAACUAGUUUGAGUUUAGCUAUCUUAAUCCUAUGUAUCCAUCCACUCAAAUCAAGCAACAUUCUCAUCACUAUUAAAAGAUAGAAUUAGGUGUCCUAUAAAACUAAGGUGGCAUUUACUUUAGAGUUUGCGAACUCAGUUUCUGAAAUUUUGAUGGAAUCUCAACUCCAAACCACUCCCUUAAAGCUAGAUGUUUACUUAUGCUGUUCAGUUGGGUUAAUUUAACCCCUGAAUUUAGCACUUAACAACUUCUUGACGUUUUUCAGCUAUCUAGUACUAGUUUGAAGAUUGUAAAAGGCC